Molecule: ribosomal RNA, 439 nt
Filed under: uncultured bacterium
Lineage: Bacteria
Description: partial 16S ribosomal RNA
Rfam family: Bacterial small subunit ribosomal RNA
Source: RNAcentral
CUACGGGCUGCUGCAGUGAGGAAUAUUGCACAAUGGGGGGAACCCUGAUGCAGCAACGCCGCGUGGAGGAUGACGCAUUUCGGUGUGUAAACUCCUUUUAUAUGUCAAGAAAAUGACGGUAGCAUAUGAAUAAGCACCGGCUAACUCCGUGCCAGCAGCCGCGGUAAUACGGAGGGUGCAAGCGUUACUCGGAAUCACUGGGCGUAAAGGACGCGUAGGCGGGCUUGUAAGUCAGGUGUGAAAUCCUACAGCUUAACUGUAGAACUGCACUUGAAACUACGAGUCUAGAGUAUGGGAGGGGAAGAUGGAAUUAGUGGUGUAGGGGUAAAAUCCGUAGAUAUCACUAGGAAUACCUAAAGCGAAGGCGAUCUUCUGGAACAUAACUGACGCUAAGGCGUGAAAGCGUGGGGAGCAAACAGGAUUAGAUACCCUAGUAGUC